UGGGCCAUUCACCAUGCCUUAUGUCACUUUCUAAUUUAGUCAGAUUAUUACUCCCCUAGGUGGCACUUCAUAUUUACUGAAGUGUUUCCACUUGCAUUACCCAACUUGAUUAAAAAAUUAUGUGGGUGGCAUGGGGUACCGCAGUUUCUUUAUUCCUGUAUGAGAUCAGCAUAAGGUGGAGCUCAGAAACAGAGUCCCGGAGAGACAAAAGCGCCACUUGAAACUGCUGAAAAUAUUGGAAGGGAUGUUGGGAACUCCCUGUACAUGAGACUGUAAUUUGACUCCAUUUAAAUUAUAUUUUCAAGAACAAGCUGAACCUGGCAAACGGGAGGACCUGCAGAGAUCCAAGCAGCUGACAUGUGGAUUACAUCUGGGUUACACAGAAACUCAAUUCUGAGCCAUCUGUUCCCUGAACAACUGGAUGAUACUGCUGAAAUUGGUCUAUUGGACAGUGGUUGCCAACUGUGCUCUAGGGGCAGCCCAAGAGGGAGAUAAGAGAGAGUUGAGGACACAAAAGAGGGUGAAGGAUAGAGAAGAUAUGACAAGCUGAAUGAUGGAAGAAGGAAUGAGCUGAAACAGAGCCACUGAGAAAGUCACUAUGGUGCAGAUGACAGAAGAAGCAUUAAAAAUAAGGAUGUCAAGCAAGAUGCCCAUUAUACUGUUUCAUUUCCUCUUCACACUGACUCGUUGCUUUCAGAAUUUAGCAGGACACAAAAAAGCAAAAGAUGGCUAUGUUCCCCAUCUUUAUUGAUAAGAGACAGAGAAGAAAACUCAUGAAAGCUAAUGCAGAGUGGAGAGGGAAAAUACAAGAAAUGCAGGAAUCCAAGCACGGAGCUACAGGUGAGGACUCUGUACUCCUCACCUUUCCUGUGAUGGGGAACCAGGCCAAGCUCUCAAAACCAUUAUAUGGAAGGGUGAUCCUGAGAGGAUGGAGUACGUGAUAAAAGCUCUAAAAGGAUCCUUUUCCCAAAACAAAACAGAUUAAUUGAUGUUAAUAACCCCACCCUUCUUGAAUCUCUCUUCAAAUGUUUAUAAAAACUUGUUGCAGUGCUGCCACCUAUGAGUCUGUGUUACUUUCCCACGAGUUUUGUGUUAUUCAGAUUUUAACCUGCUUAAAGUUUGCAUGCAGGUCUUAUUGGAUUGAAAUGUAAUGUAUUUUGUAUUUAGACUGACCUUGACUGGUUUUCAGAAGCCUCAGAAAAAUGUGUGUGUAGCAUCCUGGUUUACCCUGGACUUGGACUUCCAGCUACAUUUUGGAAGAUUUAGAGAAAGCAAUCACUGUUACCAUGUUUUUAGGAA
Camelus dromedarius (Arabian camel) is the source of this 1299-nucleotide long non-coding RNA. RefSeq lists it as uncharacterized. The transcript has 3 exons. The record is from RefSeq and is a predicted model, not a curated record. NCBI's taxonomy places the organism in Eukaryota, Metazoa, Chordata, Mammalia, Artiodactyla, Camelidae.